This is an RNA transcript of Nycticebus coucang (slow loris), 702 nucleotides long. It is a transcript of the gene named transforming protein RhoA-like, with no coding region annotated. The transcript is spliced from 2 exons. The record is from RefSeq and is a predicted model, not a curated record. Lineage: Eukaryota; Metazoa; Chordata; Mammalia; Primates; Lorisidae.
UUGAGCCUUUCUUCUCAGAAAUUCAAGCUACUUGGUACAACUUGUUCUACACAGGCCGUGCAUCGUACAAGGCAUUUGUAUGCGAUGGCUGCUAUCAGGAAGAAACUGGUGAUUAUUGGUGAUGGAGCUUGUGGGAAGACAUGCUUGCUCAUAGUCUUCAGCAAGAACCAGUUCCCAGAGGUGUAUGUGCCCAUGGUGUUUGAGAACCAUGUGGCAGAUAUUGAGGUGGAUGGCAAGCAGGUAGAAUUGGCUUUGUGGGACACAGCUGGGCAGGAAGGCUAUGACCGCCUGAGGCCCCUCUCCUACCCAGACACCGAUGUUAUACUGAUGUGUUUCUCCAUCCACAGCCCUGAUAGUUUAGAAAACAUCCCAGAAAAAUGGACCCCAGAAGUCAAGCAUUUCUGCCCCAAUGUGCCCAUCAUCCUGGUUGGGAAUAAGGAGGAUCUUCGGAAUGAUGAGCACACCAGGCUGGAGCUAGCCAAGAUGAAGCAGGAGCCGGUAAAACCUGAAGAAGGGACCAGGACUGGUGCUUUUGGGUACAUGGAGUGUUCAGCAAAGACCAAAGAUGGAGCGAGGGAGGUUUUUGUAAUGGCUACAAGAGCUGCUCUGCAAGCCAGAAGUGGGAAGAAGAAAAUCUGGGUGCCUUGUCUUGUGAAACCUUGCAGCAAGCGCAGCCCUUAAGCGGUUAAUUUUGAAGUGCUG